AAGAUCCCUGUGGCUUUUGGCAAAUGACUGAAGUGUGGAUGCAGGAGCAAUGAGUGGAGGCCAACAUCAACAGCAUCUACCCUCCCCAAUAGUGUCUCUGUUCUGGGGGUGCUGUGGUCCUCACUUGCUGGCUUAGGAUUGGAGUUAGGCUGAGCCACUUUGAAGGAGUGUGUUUACAGGAAGAUACAAAUUGUUGGUUUCUCUAUUCUUUACUGUACAGUGUGUCCAGAGAGUAGAAGAAAAUUCCUGGGCCUGUCUGGUUGGUGCAGAGCUUUUAUGGCACUACAAGGUCUUCAGGAACUGUCACUGUAAGAGCCCUGGCUGUGAGCUGGGGCUACGUGACCACUGCAGCUGAGUUUCCAAGCAGGCCUGUGUUUGGAUCUGAGUUUGACGCUUGGCGGCUCCCAGGGCUUGGGAUGAGUGGCAGUGCUGACUUGUUCACUUGGCAGAGCCACCCUGUGAGGAGGUGGACUUAGUGGCCCUUUCCAAUUGAUCCUGUCCCAUCCAGGCAGUAUCAGCACUAGGAGCAGUGCUGGGUCAGAAGUCCGAAGGAAAGGACUCGGUUGAUCGGGGUCAUUGUGAGCUUGUGUAUGUUUGUGUAGAGAAAGCUGAACUUUGGGAGGAAAGGCCUUGUCCUUGCAGGCUUCCAAGACACCGCUAAGGUUAGCCUUUGGUUGGAGACAAGUCUCUAGCCCAGACACUGGAGUAGGCGCUGAGACCAAGAGGCAGGCCAAGAUGGAGAUCUAUGGAAGGCCCUUUGCUGGUAGGGAUUCAAAGCUUCUCCAGGGGACCCCAGAACUCUAUUAACUGGCUCCCCUACCGGGACAAGCUUCGUUUGUGGGCUCAUAGAGUGGCCAUAGAGUGGGUUUAACCCAGCACCAAGCCUGAGGGCAUGAGCAGUGGUCUAAAGUCUCACAUAGUCCCAUUUUACAGACUAAUUUGAUUGCCCGGCCGUAGAAUUCUACAGAAACAACAAUCACUGAAAUUCCUUAGAAUACGCAGAGGGAGGAGGUGACUCAACACGGUGCUAAACACAUUUUAUUAAAAAUAUAUAUUGUUAAAUUAAGUCUGCUGUCUGGACAAUGAUGUUCUGUUUUGUUUUCUUGUAGUGGAGUUUAAAAGAGACUAUUAUUUUACUCUGAUAUAUUAUUAUUAAAAAGGCAUUUUAACUUUGUACUUGAAAACUAAGUGAGCGAUUUCACGUGUUUUAGCUGAGACAUCGAAGUAGCGGGUGCUUACUUGUGGGAAAUCAUGUAUUCAUACUACAACAUAAACUCCGUAGCUGAUUUGGUAAUAACUUUUACUGUUACAGACGAAUUCGCUUUGACCCCGGUGGCAGAGCGCUUUGACUCCACAUUCCACGCAGCUAAGUGCAGGACCUUCCAGAACCUUCCCCGGUCCCCCCUGGUCCUCUUUCGGUUCCUCUUCCUAGCUCUCUCUUUUCCUAAUUCUUUUUUUUAAGAAUUGUCGUUUGUUUUUCCUGGUCCCGGCUUCCUUCUACCACUGUAUUUUUUGUUAGGGUUGCUUCUCUAUUUAUUGACAGUAAUAAUGUACAUUUCACAGUCUGGUUCUGGGACAGCCAGGAGGGGUGUGGGGGGCUGCAUACAGCUUGCUGCACUCUCCGGUGUCCUGUUGUAUCUCUGUGUACGUGAUGCUUGUGACAUAGCUGUUGAAGAAAUAUUAAAAGGUCAAUGCGUACAGCAGGUGUAGAGAGUCCGUCAGUUCCGCUUCAUCACUUUUUUUUUUUUUUUUUGUGCCCAGAAGAAUAUAAUAAAGCUCCUUUCUAAUGUACUUGUGCUGGAGAACACUUGAAUAAAUGGACUGUUUUUGUGCAAAAAGAAAAACGG
This 1847-nucleotide long non-coding RNA is filed under the name Mus musculus (house mouse). RNAcentral describes it as "long non-coding RNA chr12:3911644-3913491". The record is from RNAcentral. Lineage: Eukaryota; Metazoa; Chordata; Mammalia; Rodentia; Muridae.